CCCAUUUUGGACAGAUAAGAUUCGAAGAAACAUUCUUGGUCUUAUCGUCUUCAAAGUAAUCGAAACCCUACAAAUCAGAAGAUUGUUUGAUUUUUUAAUCAAUGAAAAAAUUGUCGAUAACCAACCUAGUACGUCUCCGUAUAUCAAAUUUCCAUAUCAGAUUCGGGAAUUCUACAAAGAGAUAAGAGAUCUUGGGCAAUCACUGUGAAUAUACGAACUUGCAUGAAUAAUUAGAAAUAUGAUGAUUUUGUCUGAGGAAGGACGAUGUACAAAGUUAAGUUUUCUAUUACGGCUCUUACCUAACAAAAGAGUGUUUAAAUAUAUAUGGUGCUGAUUAUACAAAAUUCAAUGUUUACAGAAAAGGCAAAAUAUUCGAGUUUUAUUCUUUUAGAGAAGGCAAAUUUGAUGUCCUUUAUAAGCCAUAAUAGAAUCUGGAAGCAAUGUUAAAGGCUUGAUGUCAGCAAGAUCGGUGAAUGCUACAAUAGCUGCCAUUUUGUUAGAGGGAUCGUGAAGAGAACAGUUUAAACAAUGGAAAUACUGAUUCUCUAAGCCGUGUCCGUGUGCCAGUGUCUGCCCUUGUUUUAUUAUCACUGCCGCAGUUCCUAUUCUUGCCCGCCAACUGUUCGUCAAAUUGCCUGAACCAAUUUCAUAGUAAGUUUUGUUCUUCCCAAAAGUUUGGAUUUUGGGGAUUCUGGGUUUUAUUCAAACUACUCCUCCGAGAUAUCAAGAAUGGCUACUACUUCGAAUGGAAACUCUAAGAAAAGAGAUGGUGGUUUAUCGUCGCUUGCCCCUCGCAAAAUCAACGUCCAGAAAUUCUCAGAGGCUCGAGCAGCGGAGCUCGAAUCUCUUCACUCCAUUGUGUCUGAACGUUUGAACAAGGACUUUCGAUCAAAGAGGAAUAAGAGGAGAAGGACCAAUUCUUACAAUAAUCAACCUGCAAAGAAGCGUUAUAUACAGAGGCAGAAAUCAGAGUCAUUGAUUGGUCAAGUAUCAGGAGGAGGAGACCAUGAAACAAAGAUCACUAGACGAGUUAAGAGAAGAAUGGAACUUAAAGGGAACCCUCAAUCUGGUUUUUGUACUUCUGGUGAUGGGACAAAGAGGCUGAGAACACAUGUUUGGCAUGCUAAACGAUUUACGAUGACUAAGCUUUGGGGCUUUCACCUUCCUCUUGGUUUACAUGGAAGAGGAAGGGGAUCUAGGGAUGUCUUGAAGCAAUCUAGGCAAGGUGUUCUUCUUCAUGAUGCAAGCUAUCACAUUGCUGUGCAAUUGGAGGGUCCAGAGGGCUCACUCUUGUCGAUAUUAAAUAUGCUACUAGAGCCUUCUCCUUCAUCUCAUUCCAAGGAAGUUUUUGACUCUAUUCUCACAGGCCGUAGUUAUGAAAACGCCAUGCUUUAUCAUCUCGAACCACCAGUUUCUCAGGCGAUUGCUCCUGUAACUUAUAUGUGGAGACCUUCUCAGAUACCAAAGAGAAGAGAUGAGGAGAAAGGAGGGGACGGCAUAGGAACUGAUCGCCCAGUCUCAGAUAGAGAUUAUGUAGACUUUCGAAAACUUUGGGUGUGGAUCCAUGCUUCUUCCUUCACUGAAGGAUAUGCUAUUCUUAAAGUAGCUUGUCAGAAACAGAUGAAUGAGACAGGUGUCUCAGUUGAUUGCUUUUCACUCGAGGGCCAGCUUGCAAAACUUGAGAUUUUUGGUCCAAAAGCAUCUCAUCUUCUCCAGAAGACCCUACAUCCUGCUACAAGUAGCUCAGAGGAUACCUCUAUUUCUAAAAUGUGUUCAAUGGAAAAAGCUGAGGUUAAAAACGUUGCUGAUCCUUACAAAGAAGAGAACGUAUCAUCUGGCGCUAUUUUAGCACAGUUUGUCAUAGAUCGCGCGGUUAAUCCUG
Arabidopsis lyrata subsp. lyrata is the source of this 1882-nucleotide RNA transcript. It is a transcript of the gene named ribonucleases P/MRP protein subunit POP1, with no coding region annotated. The record is from RefSeq and is a predicted model, not a curated record. The transcript has 10 exons. Lineage: Eukaryota; Viridiplantae; Streptophyta; Magnoliopsida; Brassicales; Brassicaceae.